GCAGAAUUCCGGUCUGUCGCUGGUACGCUUUUGCGUAUGAGAGGAAAGUCCGGGCAGUAUAGGGUACUCCACUUCCCAAAUUAGAAGCUAUUGGCAACAGUAGGAAAUGGUAGAAGAAAAUAACCGCUGUAAUUCUUUACAGUAAGGGUGAGAAGGUGGUGUAAGAGACCACCAGCUGAUGGGUGAUCAUCAGGCUGUGUCAUCUGGAGGCUGCAAGUUCGCGUAUACUAUCGUCUGAGGGUUGCCCGCCCGAUUAAUUCCGAUAGAGGGUGGAACGCUAGAGCCGUGUGGCAACAUACGGAGUAGAUAAAUGGCAGACACUGUGUUUCAUGAGAGUGACUCAUAGUACAGAACCCGGCUUACAGGGAUUCUGUUUUC
Molecule: RNase P RNA, 378 nt
Filed under: Prevotella sp.
Lineage: Bacteria; Pseudomonadati; Bacteroidota; Bacteroidia; Bacteroidales; Prevotellaceae
Description: RNase P RNA component class A
Rfam family: Bacterial RNase P class A
About the family: Ribonuclease P (RNase P) is a ubiquitous endoribonuclease, found in archaea, bacteria and eukarya as well as chloroplasts and mitochondria. Its best characterised activity is the generation of mature 5'-ends of tRNAs by cleaving the 5'-leader elements of precursor-tRNAs.
Source: RNAcentral